GUGUAGUUUCGCAUUUUGGCCCCUGUGGAUUUUUAAAAUAUGAGAGCUAGUGUGAAAUAAAAUUCAUUUUUGGAUAGCUGAGUACUAAAAUAGCCUUCGUAUUGGGUUCAUAUGAACAUCAAGAUUAUGUAAUGCAUGUAAUAUAGGCUGUUUUCUGUAUGACAGUCCGUAUUUGCAUGCCCAUACCAUACAUUGGUCCGGCAACUAUUGUAAUGUUUUUUUCCAACUUUUUGUGGCACGAAGUUUGUGAUUAGAUUUUACGAAAAAAUGAGGCGAAAGACACCCAUUUUUUAUUUGAUCAUUAGGAAGAUCUAUGCAAACAGUUUCUAAAAGGGUAUCACUCAAAGGCAUUGAAAUUCUAGUUUGAUCCAAAUUUUGGGGGGAUAUGUGACAUGUUUACCCCCCCUUUUUGCAAUAUUUUAUUGUAAAUAAAUGCAGAAUGUUGCCAUGGAUACACAUAAAAGGAAUUAUUUUUCACCCUUUUAACUUUGAAAAAUCAAUUCUAUGGAAGAUACUGAUUACAUACAUAUGCACAUGUACAACACAAACAGUAAGGUUAAUGUAUUAGAAAUCCAGG
RNAcentral lists this long non-coding RNA (577 nucleotides) under Mytilus galloprovincialis (Mediterranean mussel). The record is from RNAcentral. Lineage: Eukaryota; Metazoa; Mollusca; Bivalvia; Mytilida; Mytilidae.